UGUUUGUUUAAUAGGUGUAGUAUAUCAGAUCCAAGAUAAGUAUAGUGAGAGGUAGUUAAUACGGUUGAGAUACUACAGAUUCAUGUUGCAUAAUGAUAUUGCCUCGGCCAAGGAGACCAACACCAUAUUUUCCGAUAUUGGCGAUCUAACGUACAAAUCUACACCUAGGCGGCGCUGCGGUAAAAGUGAUGAUGGUUUUAAAUUUUUCCAUGUUUAGUGAAAACUAUAAAAAUGUUGGCAAUGGUUGAAUCAAAGAAGGAAAUUCGAGAGCACAAUCAAACACAAGUAGAAAAAUGCACGAUUCCUGCAUGUGAGAACUACCUUGGAAAGCCCGGAAGUAAAAUAUACGUGUUUUGUUUUUGAGUUUUA
Long non-coding RNA from Toxorhynchites rutilus septentrionalis, 369 nucleotides. RefSeq lists it as uncharacterized. NCBI's taxonomy places the organism in Eukaryota, Metazoa, Arthropoda, Insecta, Diptera, Culicidae. The record is from RefSeq and is a predicted model, not a curated record. The transcript is spliced from 2 exons.